UACGAAGGGUGCAAGCGUUAAUCGGAAUUACUGGGCGUAAAGCGCACGCAGGUGGCUGAGAAAGUCGAUUGUGAAAGCCCUGGGCUUAACCUGGGAAUUGCAGUCGAAACUACUCGGCUAGAGUAUGGGAGAGGACAGUGGAAUUCCCGGUGUAGCGGUGAAAUGCGUAGAUAUCUGGAGGAACACCGGUGGCGAAAGCGGCUCACUGGACCAUAACUGACGCUGAGGUGCGAAAGCUAGGGUAGCAAACGGG
Molecule: ribosomal RNA, 253 nt
Filed under: uncultured bacterium
Lineage: Bacteria
Description: partial 16S ribosomal RNA
Rfam family: Bacterial small subunit ribosomal RNA
Source: RNAcentral